AUGGCGGCCGCCGUCAAGAAGGAGCUGAAGCUGCUGGGGGAGAGGAUGAGGAAGAAGCACGUGGAAGAUCGGAAGCGUUAUCAGGGGCUCUUCCAGCAGCCCCGGGGGAGGAGGGCUGGUGUGGAUGGGAGGCAGCAGGAGGAGGUUGGGUGUCAUGGAGGGGAGCAAGGUGUGGGAAUGGGAGAAGCCGGGGUUGGUGAAGGAGAACGAGGAAUGGCUGGGGAUGGAUGUGGAAAGGAAGCAUGGGGAAGAGGAACAGCCCCAGGGGAGGCUGAAGUGGUGGGAAAUGGGGUGAGACAGGGUGAGGAAGUAAAGCUGGGUGUCUGCAGGGCAGAGUUGGAGAGCUGUGGGGCAGAGAGGGGCGUGGAGGAAGGGGGGGAGGAGGAGGAGGAGGAGCAGGAGAAGGAAGGAAAAGUAAUGGUGGAGGAGGAGAAAAAAGAGAUAGUGGAGAAGGAGGAAGAAGUGGUUGAAGAGGCAGAGGAAAAGGAGAAGACAAUGGAGGAGGAGCAGAAAGGGAAGAAAGGGGCAGUGGAAGAGGAGGAAGAAAGGGAGGAGACAGUGGAGAGGGAAGAAGACAUGGAGGAGAAGGAGAAAAGAAAGGAGACAGAGGAGGGGGAAGAAGAGAUGGGGAAGGUAGAGGAGGAGGAGGAAAGGAAGGAGGAGAAAGUGGAGGGAAAAGAAGAGGUGGGGAAGGUGGAAGAGGAUGGAGUGGAAAAAGUGGAAGCAGUGGUAGAGAAACAAGAAGGGAAGAAAGAGACAAUGGAAGAGACAGUGGAGAAGGAAGAAGAGAAGGAGAAAGUAGAAGAGGAGAACUCAGCAGCAGAGAUGGAAAAGCUGGCUGAAGGGCAAUGUGAGGAAUCAGAGAAAGGAGAGCUCAUGCUGGGGCAGGAAGCUGGUGGGGCAAAGGGAGCUGGUGCAAAGAGCAUGGCUGGGGAGGAGUCAGGCAGAGCUGCAGAGCAGGCACCUGCAUAUCUGGACCAGGGGACAUUCCAGGGGGAGCUGGGGAAGGGCAGCUGUGGGGGACAGCAAGCAGACAAUUUCCCCACCGCCACCAUCACCAAUGGGGCAGUGCUUCAGGCCGGGCCAUUGGGUGCACGUGAGGAGCUGGAUGGGGGAACAGAAGUGCCCCUACCUCACACCAGCUGA
This 1146-nucleotide long non-coding RNA is filed under the name Chrysolophus pictus (golden pheasant). RNAcentral's name for it is "lncRNA (ENSCPIG00010012495.1)". Lineage: Eukaryota; Metazoa; Chordata; Aves; Galliformes; Phasianidae. The record is from RNAcentral.